Molecule: unclassified non-coding RNA, 285 nt
Filed under: plant metagenome
Description: partial contains small subunit ribosomal RNA, internal transcribed spacer 1, and 5.8S ribosomal RNA
Rfam family: Eukaryotic small subunit ribosomal RNA (bases 1-54)
Source: RNAcentral
GUAAGUAAAAGUCGUAACAAGGUUUCCGUAGGUGAACCUGCGGAAGGAUCAUUAUUGUAUAACCGAGGUGCGAGGGCUGUCGCUGACCCGAGAGUUCGUGCACGCCCGAGUGCCCUCACACGCAUCCAUCUCACCCCUAUGUGCACCACCGCGUGGGUCCCCCUUUGGCUUGUUCGGAGGGGGGCUUACGUUUUCACACAAACUUUGUAUGCAGUGUAGAAUGUAUUUUUUGUUUUUGCGAUCACGCAAUCAAUACAACUUUCAACAACGGAUCUCUUGGCUCUC